UCGAUUUGAGUUUGAUCCUGGCUCAGAUUGAACGCUGGCGGCAUGCCUAACACAUGCAAGUCGAACGGCAGCACAGCUUAAGCUUGCUUAAGUGGGUGGCGAGUGGCGGACGGGUGAGUAAUGCAUCGGGACCUACCUGAACGUGGGGGAUAACGUAGGGAAACUUACGCUAAUACCGCAUACGUCCUACGGGAGAAAGCGGGGGACCUUCGGGCCUCGCGCGGUCAGACGGACCGAUGUUCGAUUAGCUAGUUGGUAAGGUAAUGGCUUACCAAGGCGACGAUCGAUAGCUGGUCUGAGAGGAUGAUCAGCCAC
Molecule: ribosomal RNA, 315 nt
Filed under: uncultured bacterium
Lineage: Bacteria
Description: bacterial SSU rRNA
Rfam family: Bacterial small subunit ribosomal RNA
Source: RNAcentral